UUUCCGUAGGUGAACCUGCGGAAGGAUCAUUCAUAAUAAAGUGUUUUAUGGCACUUUUUAAAAUCCAUAUCCACCUUGUGUGCGAUGUUAGAUCUCGUCAAUCUUGGCGAGAUUUUUAUACAUCAACUCAUUCUUUAACUAAUUUGUCUGAAAAAUAUUAUGAAUACUUAAUUCAAAAUACAACUUUCAACAACGGAUCUCUUGGCUCUC
RNAcentral lists this unclassified non-coding RNA (210 nucleotides) under plant metagenome. RNAcentral's name for it is "partial contains small subunit ribosomal RNA, internal transcribed spacer 1, and 5.8S ribosomal RNA". The record is from RNAcentral.